This is a non-coding RNA of Schizothecium vesticola, 84 nucleotides long. The record is from the annotation of a GenBank genome assembly. Lineage: Eukaryota; Fungi; Ascomycota; Sordariomycetes; Sordariales; Schizotheciaceae.
AGGCAACUAGCACAGUGGUCAGUACGCUUCGUUGUGAUCCUCGACGGUCCCGAAGAAACCCAGGUUCGAUUCCUAGGUUGCCCA